CUCCCAAUUCCGCUCCUCCCCUUCCUUCGACUCCCGUUGGGCGAGCGUCCGCCACCCGUCCCCGUAGAAAUUCGGGCGCCCGCUCAACUGCUUUGCCCGCUCCCUCCUCGCCCUCCCCCCUUCUGGCCGGUUUUUCUCCGCGUACGCGUGCCCAUCGUUUUGUUGGCCUCCCUGCGAAUCUCCCCAUUGGAGAUAUCGAAUCUGUGCGCCAGGCCCUGCGCGAGGCGGAGGCGUGCACUGCACUCCUACGCGCGCGCCUUGAGAUCCUGGAGUCCUUGGCGCAGGCCGAGUUUUAGUUUCCUUUUUGUUGCGUACGGACGUUUCUGGGGGUUGUUGGUUUGGGCGUUUUCGUUGGCGUACGCCUUUUCUUUUGUUUUUGCGACGUCCAUGUAUUUUUAGGAGUCGGGCGAAGCCCUUGCGGCGGCCAUUAGGGCUGCGCGCGAAUAGAUCUUUUUCCUGGUUUUCUCUUUUUCCUUCCUUUCCUAGUCGUUAAUCUUACGCGACCUUUUACCGGUUCUACGCUUGACGACUAGGUGCGGC
RNAcentral lists this small RNA (540 nucleotides) under Histoplasma ohiense. RNAcentral's name for it is "hypothetical lncRNA". The record is from RNAcentral. Lineage: Eukaryota; Fungi; Ascomycota; Eurotiomycetes; Onygenales; Ajellomycetaceae.